RNAcentral lists this ribosomal RNA (492 nucleotides) under uncultured bacterium. Its description in RNAcentral is "partial 16S ribosomal RNA". It matches the Rfam family "Bacterial small subunit ribosomal RNA", at positions 29 to 507 of the family's 1533-position model. The record is from RNAcentral.
AGUGAACGCUGGCGGUAGGCCUAACACAUGCAAGUCGAACGGCAGCACAGUAAGAGCUUGCUCUUACGGGUGGCGAGUGGCGGACGGGUGAGGAAUACAUCGGAAUCUACUUUUUCGUGGGGGAUAACGUAGGGAAACUUACGCUAAUACCGCAUACGACCUACGGGUGAAAGCAGGGGAUCUUCGGACCUUGCGCGAUUGAAUGAGCCGAUGUCGGAUUAGCUAGUUGGCGGGGUAAAGGCCCACCAAGGCGACGAUACGUAGCUGGUCUGAGAGGAUGAUCAGCCACACUGGAACUGAGACACGGUCCAGACUCCUACGGGAGGCAGCAGUGGGGAAUAUUGGACAAUGGUCGCAAGCCUUAUCCAGCCAUACCGCGUGUGUGAAGAAGGCCUUCGGGUUGUAAAGCCCUUUUGUUGGGAAAGAAAAGCAGCAGGUUAAUACCCCGCUGUUCUGACGGUACCCAAAGAAUAAGCACCGGCUAACUUCGUG